UAUGACUCUUACUCUGAUAUAUUUGCUUUCUAAGAUACCUUUUUCAAUUUUAAUUCUAAGUACACAGUGUGGAAGAUGCAAUUAGAAAAUGAAUUUAUUUUGGUGUUGCAUAUAUGACUGAUUUUCCAAAAUUAAUGGAAAAUGUGUAUUAUGAAAAAACUGUGCAGGUAUUUCAAAAUAUUUUUCACCAAAAUAAACUUAUCUUUCAUUUGGUCUUUUACUUAUUUUCUUCUUUAUUUGAAAGGCAGGGAGAGAAAGAGCCAUCUGCCGUCCUCCUUCUGGUUCACCUGCAACCGCCAGGACUGCGCAGGCGCAAGCUGGGAGUCGGGGCUUCCAUCCGGGGCUUCCACUGAGUGCCGGAACCGCCGCCUCCGCCAUCUUCUCUCCUUGUAUCUUCAGCCUCCAUUUUCCUUGUCUCUGUCAUGGAAAGAAGCUUAAAGUCGUCUCCCCAGCAGCGGAGCCACCUCCUCUGCACAGAGUCCCGAAGCUUUAUUUCCACUUCCUUUAAACAGCCAGGACUGAAAGGAGGAGGAAGGAGAGGGCAGAUUCCCCAGUGUUUGAAAGAACUGGAGGGUGAGGGGCAAGAUUUGGACUAUUUUCUUCUCUUUUUAGCCUUCGGUGGGGACUGUCGUGACCCUAUGAAGUCAGCUGUCCUCUUUCGUUUCAAGAAAUCGAUUUGUUUCCUAGAACAACUGAGCCAGCGACUGGGGAGACCUUUGUCCAGGUGUUGCUGGGACCUGGGUCAGAGCGUGUGCUGUGGUUGGAAGGUGACUGUUUCUACUAGCAGCACAUCCGGCUCAAAAGGCAGAUGGACCUGCUGCUGAAAUGAGAACCUAGAACUCAAGUCAAGUAGAGCUCCGUCUGAAUUCACCACAAGACAUUCGUUGCUUAACAAGUGUGAAGCACACGCUACCUGUGCAAAUGUGGUCGUUUACUGAGAUGUUAAUUUGCAUUUUCAUUCGCAAAAUGGUAAAUGGUCUCCCUUCCCCAGCCUCCCCACCACCAAAUAGCCAAAGCAGGAGUUUCCAGACUCCUUUAUUUUAUUUAUUUAUUUAUUUUUGACAGGCAGAGUGGAUCAUGAGAGAGAGAGAGACAAAGAGAAAGGUCUUCCUUUGCCAUUGGUUCACCCUCCAAUUGCCACGGCAGGCGCACUGCGGCGGGUGCACCGCGCUGAUCCGAAGGCAGGAGCCAGGUGCUUCUCCUGGUCUCCCAUGGGGUGCAGGGCCCAAGCACUUGGGCCAUCCUCCACUGCACUCCCUGGCCACAGCAGAGGGCUGGCCUGGAAGAGGGGCAACCGGGACAGAAUCCGGCGCCCCAACCGGGACUAGAACCCGGUGUGCCGGCGCCGCAAGGCGGAGGAUUAGCCUAGUGAGCCACGGCGCCGGCCUUCCAGACUCCUUUAAAUCAGCACCCUUUGCCCUCUGCCUCGGAUGACCAGUGUGGGAAGGUCUGACAGGGACGAGGCCUUUGAGGGCUGAGAGACGUGGAGCAAGCCAACAGCAACUGCCAGCAGGCAGGGGAGAGAGGUAAAAUGAGGGAUAGCUCCCCAGAUAAUAGGAAAGGUAGGGUAGGAUGGGGCAUGUUAUGGGAUCCAGAAAAGUGAAACCAGCAGGUCGUCGUCGUCCUCUUCUUCUUCUUUUUUAAAAGAUUUAUUUGUUAAUUUGAAAGGUAGAGUUACAGAGAGAGGGAGAGACAGAAAGAGAGGUCUUCCAUCCACUCAUUCACUCCCCAAAUAGCUGCAGCAGCAGGAACUGGGCAGAUCUGAAGCCAGGAGCCAGGAGCUUCUUCUGGGUCUCCCAAGUGGGUGCAGGGGACCAAGCACUUGGGCCAUCUUCUUCUGCUUUUCCAGGCCAUAGUAGAAAGCUAGAUCAGAAGUGGAGCAGCCGUGACACAAACCAGCACCCAUAUGGGAUGCCAACACCACAGGUGGAGGCUUAGCCUACUAUGCCACAGCACCAGUCCCUGGCAGGUCUUCUGUGGGCCGAGCAGAGGGAGUUGUGACUCCAGGUACAGAGACCCUGGGCCUUGACCAAGACCUCCUGUGCUUACGCUUGCCUCCAAGGCAGCAGAAAUUACACCGGCAAGGCUGGCUGGGACCACGGAUCUAGCAGAGUCCGGCCUGGGUUGACCAUUGGAGGGUGUCUCCACCAGUAUUCUAGACCAUACAAGCUACCAAGAAUCUCUGUGCAAACUUAGAGAGCGAGCAGAGGGCCUCCCCAAACAUGGCCGAAAUGGAAUUCUGCAGCAGCCAGGCGGGCGGGGCACAUCAGUGGACUUAGUGAAUGAGCAUUUGCUUCUACCCGAGCCAGCUCCCAGGGAGUUCAGUGCACACCCAUCAGAUAAACACCGACUUUGAUCCACAUGACAAUCUUUAUCCUUCUUUUACUUUCAAAUUUUAUCUAUAUGGGUAUAUUCAAUUUAAUAGUUUACAAGAGUCCGAUAAGCCUUGUCACAUACAGAAUCUCAUUAGACUUCGAUGGCGAAUAUGGCAGGUGCUGUCUGAUUUGCUGAAGUCUUUUCAUGGCCUGUUGCCAUCUUGGGGAGCCUCGGGUGGGUCCCCUGCUGUCCCAUGCAUUCUCAGGAUUGGCCACCAGCACUUCCGGCCUUAACAUUUGUCGAUAUGUUGAUUUCUCUAACUCUCAUUCUUUUGAUCUGCCUUGCCCCAUGCAUACAGGGACACCCUGUGGGUGAUCCUCAUCAAUACUCCAUGUCUGGCUGAGCUCUUGGCUAAUUCCAAUCUUCUCAAUAUGGGGGCUCUUCUACUUCUUUGUUUUAAUUUGUCCAGAAUAAUAAGCAUAUGAGGGUACUCAAAAAGUGCAUAGGAAAAUAAAUUUAAAAGAGAAGUUUAUUUGGGGGCA
Oryctolagus cuniculus (rabbit) is the source of this 2858-nucleotide long non-coding RNA. The record is from Ensembl. NCBI's taxonomy places the organism in Eukaryota, Metazoa, Chordata, Mammalia, Lagomorpha, Leporidae.